CAAUAGGACAUACAAUAAUAUACAGGGUACAGCCAGGGAAUAUAAGGAAUCACAAUAAAAAUACAGGCAACCUUUUUAAACAUAUAGUCCAGGUUAUUAAAAGUGGCUAGGUUUGCCACAAUUGCUAGGAGUGUCUGAGUGUAUUGUACGUAUUGAUUGGUUGUUCUGCAAAACCCUGUGGGCGGUACUAUGUUUGUAAAAUGGGCAUAAAAGCAGUGUGUUUGAUUAAAAGCUUCCGUUCUACUUCACCCUCGAUUUGGAGUGCCGUCUCUUAUUGGGGGAAUCUGCUACAAUGGAUUGCUAUGGUCUGCAUAUUCCCUUCCCUUGCUAUAAUCACUACUAAGUUCUUUUAAGAGCUUGUUCCUGUUUUGCUCGCUGAAGGAGGUUACGGUGGCUGCUGGAGUGCUGGAAACCCU
Pelobates cultripes (western spadefoot toad) is the source of this 416-nucleotide non-coding RNA. The record is from the annotation of a GenBank genome assembly. Lineage: Eukaryota; Metazoa; Chordata; Amphibia; Anura; Pelobatidae.